UGGAUAUCUUCCGGAUGGUUUAUC
Molecule: non-coding RNA, 24 nt
Filed under: Arabidopsis thaliana (thale cress)
Lineage: Eukaryota; Viridiplantae; Streptophyta; Magnoliopsida; Brassicales; Brassicaceae
Source: RNAcentral